This 466-nucleotide ribosomal RNA is filed under the name uncultured bacterium. Its description in RNAcentral is "partial 16S ribosomal RNA". It matches the Rfam family "Bacterial small subunit ribosomal RNA", at positions 28 to 505 of the family's 1533-position model. The record is from RNAcentral.
GACGAACGCUGGCGGCGUGCUUAACACAUGCAAGUCGAACGGAAAGGCCCUGCUUUUGUGGGGUGCUCGAGUGGCGAACGGGUGAGUAACACGUGAGUAACCUGCCCUUGACUUUGGGAUAACUUCAGGAAACUGGGGCUAAUACCGGAUAGGAGCUCCUGCUGCAUGGUGGGGGUUGGAAAGUUUCGGCGGUUGGGGAUGGACUCGCGGCUUAUCAGCUUGUUGGUGGGGUAGUGGCUUACCAAGGCUUUGACGGGUAGCCGGCCUGAGAGGGUGACCGGCCACAGUGGGACUGAGAUACGGCCCAGACUCCUACGGGAGGAAGCAGUGGGGAAUAUUGCACAAUGGGCGGAAGCCUGAUGAAGCAACGCCGCGUGGGGGAUGACGGCCUUCGGGGUGUAAACCGCUUUCGCCUGUGACGAAGCGUGAGUGACGGUAAUGGGUAAAGAAGCACCGGCUAACUACG